CAAAUUGAGAGUUUGAUCCUGGCUCAGGAUGAACGCUGGCGGCGUGCCUAAUACAUGCAAGUCGAACGCUUUGUGGUUCAACUGAUUUGAAGAGCUUGCUCAGAUAUGACGAUGGACAUUGCAAAGAGUGGCGAACGGGUGAGUAACACGUGGGAAACCUACCUCUUAGCAGGGGAUAACAUUUGGAAACAGAUGCUAAUACCGUAUAACAAUAGCAACCGCAUGGUUGCUACUUAAAAG
This 240-nucleotide ribosomal RNA is filed under the name Weissella cibaria. RNAcentral describes it as "partial 16S ribosomal RNA". It matches the Rfam family "Bacterial small subunit ribosomal RNA", at positions 1 to 207 of the family's 1533-position model. The record is from RNAcentral. Lineage: Bacteria; Bacillati; Bacillota; Bacilli; Lactobacillales; Lactobacillaceae.